AUUAAAAUAGUUUAAAGAAAACGUUGAUUUGUGGUGUCAAAGAUUUAUUAUUAUUUUAAUU
This 61-nucleotide transfer RNA is filed under the name Cacopsylla picta. RNAcentral's name for it is "tRNA-His". Lineage: Eukaryota; Metazoa; Arthropoda; Insecta; Hemiptera; Psyllidae. The record is from RNAcentral.